CCUACGGGAGGCAGCAGUGAGGAAUAUUGGUCAAUGGGCGCGAGUCUGAACCAGCCAAGUCGCGUGAAGGAUGACUGCCCUAUGGGUUGUAACCUUCUUUUAUAAGGGAAUAAAAUGUUCCACGUGUGCCUUUUUGUAUGUACUUUAUGAAUAAGGAUCGGCUAACUCCGUGCCAGCAGCCGCGGUAAUACGGAGGAUCCGAGCGUUAUCCGGAUUUAUUGGGUUUAAAGGGAGCGUAGAUGGGUUGUUAAGUCAGUUGUGAAAGUUUGCGGCUCAACCGUAAAAUUGCAAUUGAUACUGGCAGGCUGGAGUACAGUAGAGGUAGGCGGAAUUCGUGGUGUAGCGGUGAAAUGCUUAGAUAUCACGAAGAACUCCGAUUGCGAAGACAGCUCACUAAACUGCAACUGACACUGAUGCUCGAAAGUGUGGGUAUCAAACAGGAUUAGAUACCCUGGUAGUC
RNAcentral lists this ribosomal RNA (460 nucleotides) under uncultured bacterium. RNAcentral describes it as "partial 16S ribosomal RNA". It matches the Rfam family "Bacterial small subunit ribosomal RNA", at positions 338 to 795 of the family's 1533-position model. The record is from RNAcentral.